RNAcentral lists this RNase P RNA (306 nucleotides) under Flavobacterium agricola. RNAcentral describes it as "Flavobacterium sp. CC-SYL302 RNase P RNA component class A". It matches the Rfam family "Bacterial RNase P class A". Rfam says of the family: Ribonuclease P (RNase P) is a ubiquitous endoribonuclease, found in archaea, bacteria and eukarya as well as chloroplasts and mitochondria. Its best characterised activity is the generation of mature 5'-ends of tRNAs by cleaving the 5'-leader elements of precursor-tRNAs. The record is from RNAcentral. Lineage: Bacteria; Pseudomonadati; Bacteroidota; Flavobacteriia; Flavobacteriales; Flavobacteriaceae.
CAAGCAAUUCGCCUUAUCGCUGGCUCUAUGUCAGAGGAAAGUCCGGACACCAAAGAGUAGCAUAGCGGGUAACGCCCGUCACUAAACUCGUUUUAGGAGGACAAGUGCAACAGAAAGAAUGUACAGGUAAUGCUGUAGUGAAACCAGGUAAACUCUAUGCGGUGAAAUGCCAUGUAUAUCAACAUCUAAGGGUUACUCGUCCGUUGUUGAGGGGUAGGCAGAUGGAGCUUACAAGUAAUUGUAAGCCUAGAUAAAUGAUAAGGCACCUUAGGGUGACAGAAUCCGGCUUAUAGAAUUGUUUUUAAA